GAUGAACGCUGGCGGCGUGCUUAACACAUGCAAGUCGAACGGAAAGGCCCAAGCUUGCUUGGGUACUCGAGUGGCGAACGGGUGAUUAACACUUGGGUGAUCUGCCCUGCACUUCGGGAUAAUCCUGGGAAACUGGGUCUAAUACCGGAUAGGUCCACAUUUUGGAUGUUGUGGUGGAAAGUUUUUCGGUGUGGGAUGAGCUCGCGGCCUAUCAGCUUGUUGGUGGGGUAAUGGCCUACCAAGGCGUCGACGGGUAGCCGGCCUGAGAGGGUGUACGGCCACAUUGGGACUGAGAUACGGCCCAGACUCCUACGGGAGGCAGCAGUGGGGAAUAUUGCACAAUGGGCGCAAGCCUGAUGCAGCGACGCCGCGUGGGGGAUGACGGCCUUCGGGUUGUAAACUCCUUUCGCUAGGGACGAAGCGCAAGUGACGGUACCUGGAGAAGAAGCACCGGCUAACUACGUG
RNAcentral lists this ribosomal RNA (465 nucleotides) under uncultured bacterium. RNAcentral describes it as "partial 16S ribosomal RNA". It matches the Rfam family "Bacterial small subunit ribosomal RNA", at positions 28 to 507 of the family's 1533-position model. The record is from RNAcentral.